AGAACGAACGCUGGCGGCAUGCCUAACACAUGCAAGUCGAACGAGACCUUCGGGUCUAGUGGCGCACGGGUGCGUAACGCGUGGGAAUCUGCCCUUCGGUUCGGAAUAACUCAGGGAAACUUGAGCUAAUACCGGAUAAUGACGUAAGUCCAAAGAUUUAUCGCCGAAGGAUGAGCCCGCGUAAGAUUAGCUAGUUGGUGAGGUAAAGGCUCACCAAGGCUACGAUCUUUAGCUGGUCUGAGAGGAUGAUCAGCCACACUGGGACUGAGACACGGCCCAGACUCCUACGGGAGGCAGCAGUGGGGAAUAUUGGACAAUGGGCGAAAGCCUGAUCCAGCAAUGCCGCGUGAGUGAUGAAGGCCUUAGGUUGUAAAGCUCUUUUACCCGGGAUGAUAAUGACAGUACCGGAGAAUAAGCUCCGGCUAACUCCGCGCCAGCAGCCGC
This 444-nucleotide ribosomal RNA is filed under the name uncultured soil bacterium. RNAcentral's name for it is "bacterial SSU rRNA". It matches the Rfam family "Bacterial small subunit ribosomal RNA", at positions 26 to 518 of the family's 1533-position model. The record is from RNAcentral.